Tupaia belangeri chinensis (Chinese tree shrew) is the source of this 1791-nucleotide long non-coding RNA. RefSeq lists it as uncharacterized. Lineage: Eukaryota; Metazoa; Chordata; Mammalia; Scandentia; Tupaiidae. The record is from RefSeq and is a predicted model, not a curated record. The transcript is spliced from 7 exons.
CGUCCUCCAGCCCAUGCACCCUCCGUGACCCGCCACCCCUGUUGCGCACCAGUUGAGGAAAUCUCAGCGUCUAACUUCUUGGUUUCUCUUUUCGGCCCCCAAACUAUGCCCGUCGUGGGACUUUUAAGUCCCUAUGCGCGUCGUCAAUCAGCCCCGUUUGAGGUCUCCUCGCAGAAUGAGGUCUACGAAGAAGCAGGCUCGGAGGAAGAGAGAGCACCCUGCGAAACCUCGGACACCUCCCCUCCCGUCCCUACGAGCGCUCUCUAGGACCCACCGGUCGAGAGAGGCGGCUGCGGGAUGACUGGACACUAGGGCCCACGGGGGUGCACGGGGUUGGAGCGCAGGAAACAGCGAGGAUCCAAUCCAGGCCCAUACGUCGCAUUGAGCUCUCCUUGGGGUCCUUUAAUCUAGGACAGUCCUCUAUCAAUCGUCCUCUUACACAACCAAAACACGUUGGAGGAGUACUGGCCAGUGUUUUGUGCAAUAUCCUUUAGUUGCUUUUUGUCUGAUGACUCCUUUUGAAUGGAUUCAGGUUGUUUUGCGCAGGGGUGAUGUGCUCUGCUCAGGAGGGACAUGAUGGUGGUAUAUCUUAUUUGUAGUAAUGGAAACUGAUCACUUGGUUAAGGUGCUAUCUGCCAGAUUUCUCCUUAGGAUUUAAUGGCCAGAAACCUCCUUUUCAAAGACUCCUUCCGGUAGAUUAUAUUUCUUACACACAAUUUUUCUCUGUCACCAGCUCCUGGCCUUUAAACUUACUUGCUACAAUUUAGGUGCAACCAGUUAUAACUUGACCUGUGAGGGCCUCCAGAGCCAGACAACACAAGCUUGGUCCAAGCUAGACUGUUUAUUUAGAGAUAUUUCUGCUGUAGGGUGUGUGCACUGAUCCUGAGAGACAGAGAUAGGAAGUGAGGAAUCAUCCCCCAGGGCGGAUGGCCACUCCACAAUCCCUUUUCCUCCAUUCCCCACUUGGGAUUUGGGGCAUGCACACACAUGAACCUGGUGUGAGUUUUAAGCUGCUGGGUCAGGGACUCGGACCAUGGUUGACUAUGGGGGAGUCCAGUAACAAUCAUUGCUCCGUCUGUAGGUCCCCUAGACUGCUUGUGUAAUCCUCAUGUCAUUAGCAAAAGAGUCCUGUGAAAUCAAAUCUAAAUUCAACAAUAAGAAAACAAAAUGAUCCAAUUAAUAGGUAAAUGAUCUGAACAGACACCUCAUCAAAGAAGAUUGUAAGCACUGAGAGAACAGGUGUGAGCCUUACCUGUCCUGUUCACAGAGGCAAUCAGCACACAGAACAAGGCAUGGCAUAUGUUGGAAGCCAAGCUUGAUCUUUCUGAAGCUGCCUUUUUCUUCCCAGUCAUGUUACUAGGUUGAGAUCUAACUCGUCAUUCAGUUCAACAGUUGGACUCCUAGCUUUCCAACUGGUUUUUUUCAGGCAAGCCACAGAAGAGUCAAGAUACUAAUUGAUUGGUUCCUUGGGAUGGUUGGGCCAUUUGUGUUAGUGGAUUCUACAGAGUGCUAUUUGUUCUAUGUUAUAAAAGGGACACGGAAGCCAAGUGAGAGCUACUGGGACAGUCCCACAGUGCAGCAGUUAAGAGCUGCAGAGAGGAAACAGGAUCCUACGUGGCCAACCAUUGUUUGACUCCUGGUCCUGGUGGCUUAUAUGUCAGGCACAGCCUGAUAGGAGAGAUGUUAUUUGCAAUGAAGAAAUAACGUAUUCAGUGGGCCAGACCUGACCUGAGACUGAACACUUACGUCUAGACUGGAGAGUCCAAUCCAUAAAGAGGAGUUGUGACGGAC